Homo sapiens (human) is the source of this 360-nucleotide long non-coding RNA. RefSeq lists it as uncharacterized. The record is from RefSeq and is a predicted model, not a curated record. NCBI's taxonomy places the organism in Eukaryota, Metazoa, Chordata, Mammalia, Primates, Hominidae. The transcript has 2 exons.
CUGACUGGGAGCAUGAGGAGGCCCUGUAGCCUGCCGCAGUCAGAACAAGAGCACCGAGACUUACAUCAUAAUGCAGAUCUCUCCGCUGGCUGAUAGCUCCCCGGGCAAAAAGAAAACCUUGCCAGAAAAGCGGAAGCUCCCCUAAAGCCUCCCAUGCCCCUUCAUCUCUUCAGAAGUCACGUGGACCACGACUAAUAACCUGUGGACUGGCUUAGCUAUCAUAUCUCUAUCAUUUACACGUAUUUAUCUAUCUCUGUGUAUCUAACACCUUAUGUAAAGAGAGUAUGUAUCUGUUGGCGUCUUUUGCUCAAUAUGGUUUAUGUAAUUCAUAUUUUUGCAAAUAUCUAUAAUUCAUUUUCA